GAUUGAAUGGCUCAGUGAGGCCUUCGGACUGGCCCAGGGAGGUCGGCAACGACCACCCAGGGCCGGAAAGUUGGUCAAACUCGGUCAUUUAGAGGAAGUAAAAGUCGUAACAAGGUCUCCGUAGGUGAACCUGCGGAGGGAUCAUUA
This 147-nucleotide ribosomal RNA is filed under the name Cercospora apii. Its description in RNAcentral is "partial 18S ribosomal RNA". It matches the Rfam family "Eukaryotic small subunit ribosomal RNA", at positions 1687 to 1831 of the family's 1831-position model. The record is from RNAcentral. RNAcentral also lists the same sequence under 4 other names. Lineage: Eukaryota; Fungi; Ascomycota; Dothideomycetes; Mycosphaerellales; Mycosphaerellaceae.